GACGCUGAGGCUNGAAAGCGUGGGUAGCGAACAGGAUUAGAUACCCUGGUAGUNCACGCCGUAAACGAUGAGUGCUAGGUGUUAGGCCCUUUCCGGGGCUUAGUGCCGGAGCUAACGCAAUAAGCACUCCGCCUGGGGAGUACGACCGCAAGGUUGAAACUCAAAGGAAUUGACGGGGGCCCGCACAAGCGGUGGAGCAUGUGGUUUAAUUNGAAGCAACGCGAAGAACCUUACCAGGUCUUGACAUCCCGAUGCUAUUCUUAGAGAUAGGAAGUUACUUCGGUACAUCGGAGACAGGUGGUGCAUGGUUGUCGUCAGCUCGUGUCGUGAGAUGUUGGGUUAAGUCCCGCAACGAGCGCAACCCUUAUUGUUAGUUGCCAUCAUUAAGUUGGGCACUCUAGCGAGACUGCCGGUAAUAAACCGGAGGAAGGUGGGGAUGACGUCAAAUCAUUAUGCCCCUUAUGACCUGGGCUACACACGUGCUACAAUGGUCGGUACAACGAGUUGCGAGCCGGUGACGGCAAGCUAAUCUCUGAAAGCCGAUCUCAGUUCGGAUUGGAGGCUGCAACUCGCCUCCAUGAAGUCGGAAUCGCUAGUAAUCGCGGAUCAGCACGCCGCGGUGAAUACGUUCCCGGGCCUUGUACACACCGCCCGUCACACUACGAGAGUUUGUAACACCCGA
RNAcentral lists this ribosomal RNA (682 nucleotides) under uncultured bacterium. Its description in RNAcentral is "bacterial SSU rRNA". It matches the Rfam family "Bacterial small subunit ribosomal RNA", at positions 742 to 1424 of the family's 1533-position model. The record is from RNAcentral.